Molecule: long non-coding RNA, 454 nt
Filed under: Phoenix dactylifera (date palm)
Lineage: Eukaryota; Viridiplantae; Streptophyta; Magnoliopsida; Arecales; Arecaceae
Description: long non-coding RNA (PDAC_LNC013580)
Source: RNAcentral
UCAAGUUGCAAACACUAAGACCUGAUUAACCAAUAUUAAGUCAAUAGGUCUUCUACUGUAGUAGAGCUGCUAAGGCCUUUCUGAUGUUGAUUUGUCUCGGCUGGAUACAGUGGUCAAGUUGCAUCGGGGGGCUGGACCUCUCUAUAGACAUGAGAUGUUGUAGGGUAAAGGUGGGGUUAGGCACCAAUAACUGUUAGAUGAGGACCCAAUGACGACUUUAUUUCUACGGUUAUACGGUGGGUCUGACUUAACUAAGAAAUGGGACCAAUAACUGUUAGGUGAGGUUUUCAUGGCUUAGAGACCAAGUAGCACUGCAACAUGCUUGAGAAGCAUUGUACAAGAGUUGUACAUUCAUCAAUCUAUGUGUCACCAAUAACUGUUAGGUGAGGUGGCAUGUAAAUUGGUGGGACCGCAGUACCCACUAGAAACCCUAGUCGUGUGGGAUUUCCGUUUU